RNAcentral lists this ribosomal RNA (1343 nucleotides) under uncultured bacterium. RNAcentral's name for it is "16S ribosomal RNA". It matches the Rfam family "Bacterial small subunit ribosomal RNA", at positions 28 to 1378 of the family's 1533-position model. The record is from RNAcentral.
GACGAACGCUGGCGGCAUGCUUAACACAUGCAAGUCGAACGGAAAGGCCCUGCUUUUGUGGGGUGCUCGAGUGGCGAACGGGUGAGUAACACGUGAGUAACCUGCCCUUGACUUUGGGAUAACUUCAGGAAACUGGGGCUAAUACCGGAUAGGAGCUCCUGCUGCAUGGUGGGGGUUGGAAAGUUUCGGCGGUUGGGGAUGGACUCGCGGCUUAUCAGCUUGUUGGUGGGGUAGUGGCUUACCAAGGCUUUGACGGGUAGCCGGCCUGAGAGGGUGACCGGCCACAUUGGGACUGAGAUACGGCCCAGACUCCUACGGGAGGCAGCAGUGGGGAAUAUUGCACAAUGGGCGGAAGCCUGAUGCAGCAACGCCGCGUGCGGGAUGACGGCCUUCGGGUUGUAAACCGCUUUCGCCUGUGACGAAGCGUGAGUGACGGUAAUGGGUAAAGAAGCACCGGCUAACUACGUGCCAGCAGCCGCGGUGAUACGUAGGGUGCGAGCGUUGUCCGGAUUUAUUGGGCGUAAAGGGCUCGUAGGUGGUUGAUCGCGUCGGAAGUGUAAUCUUGGGGCUUAACCCUGAGCGUGCUUUCGAUACGGGUUGACUUGAGGAAGGUAGGGGAGAAUGGAAUUCCUGGUGGAGCGGUGGAAUGCGCAGAUAUCAGGAGGAACACCAGUGGCGAAGGCGGUUCUCUGGGCCUUUCCUGACGCUGAGGAGCGAAAGCGUGGGGAGCGAACAGGCUUAGAUACCCUGGUAGUCCACGCUGUAAACGGUGGGUACUAGGUGUGGGGUCCAUUCCACGGGUUCCGUGCCGUAGCUAACGCUUUAAGUACCCCGCCUGGGGAGUACGGCCGCAAGGCUAAAACUCAAAGGAAUUGACGGGGCCCCGCACAAGCGGCGGAGCAUGCGGAUUAAUUCGAUGCAACGCGUAGAACCUUACCUGGGUUUGACAUGGAUCGGGAGUGCUCAGAGAUGGGUGUGCCUCUUUUGGGGUCGGUUCACAGGUGGUGCAUGCCUGUCGUCAGCUCGUGUCGUGAGAUGUUGGGUUAAGUCCCGCAACGAGCGCAACCCUUGUUCACUGUUGCCAGCACGUUAUGGUGGGGACUCAGUGGAGACCGCCGGGGUCAACUCGGAGGAAGGUGGGGAUGACGUCAAGUCCUCAUGCCCCUUAUGUCCAGGGCUUCACGCAUGCUACAAUGGCUGGUACAGAGAGUGGCGAGCCUGUGAGGGUGAGCGAAUCUCGGAAAGCCGGUCUCAGUUCGGAUUGGGGUCUGCAACUCGACCUCAUGAAGUCGGAGUCGCUAGUAAUCGCAGAUCAGCAACGCUGCGGUGAAUACGUUCCCGGG